RNAcentral lists this ribosomal RNA (626 nucleotides) under Trichoderma sp. BAB-4613. RNAcentral's name for it is "eukaryotic LSU rRNA". The stretch from base 237 to 390 matches the Rfam family "5.8S ribosomal RNA". Lineage: Eukaryota; Fungi; Ascomycota; Sordariomycetes; Hypocreales; Hypocreaceae. The record is from RNAcentral.
CUUCCCGUUAGGGGGGACCUGCGGAGGGAUCAUUACCGAGUUUACAACUCCCAAACCCAAUGUGAACGUUACCAAACUGUUGCCUCGGCGGGAUCUCUGCCCCGGGUGCGUCGCAGCCCCGGACCAAGGCGCCCGCCGGAGGACCAACCAAAACUCUUAUUGUAUACCCCCUCGCGGGUUUUUUUAUAAUCUGAGCCUUCUCGGCGCCUCUCGUAGGCGUUUCGAAAAUGAAUCAAAACUUUCAACAACGGAUCUCUUGGUUCUGGCAUCGAUGAAGAACGCAGCGAAAUGCGAUAAGUAAUGUGAAUUGCAGAAUUCAGUGAAUCAUCGAAUCUUUGAACGCACAUUGCGCCCGCCAGUAUUCUGGCGGGCAUGCCUGUCCGAGCGUCAUUUCAACCCUCGAACCCCUCCGGGGGGUCGGCGUUGGGGAUCGGCCCUCCCUUAGCGGGUGGCCGUCUCCGAAAUACAGUGGCGGUCUCGCCGCAGCCUCUCCUGCGCAGUAGUUUGCACACUCGCAUCGGGAGCGCGGCGCGUCCACAGCCGUUAAACACCCAACUUCUGAAAUGUUGACCUCGGAUCAGGUAGGAAUACCCGCUGAACUUAAGCAUAUCAAUAAGGCGGAGGAA